GACGAACGCUGUCGGCGUGCUUAACACAUGCAAGUCGAACGGAAAGGCCCUGCUUGCAGGGUACUCGAGUGGCGAACGGGUGAGUAACACGUGGGUGAUCUGCCCUGCACUUCGGGAUAAGCUUGGGAAACUGGGUCUAAUACCGGAUAGGAGCCAUCUUUAGUGUGGUGGUUGGAAAGUUUUUUCGGUGUAGGAUGAGCUCGCGGCCUAUCAGCUUGUUGGUGGGGUAAUGGCCUACCAAGGCGGCGACGGGUAGCCGGCCUGAGAGGGUGUACGGCCACAUUGGGACUGAGAUACGGCCCAGACUCCUACGGGAGGCAGCAGUGGGGAAUAUUGCACAAUGGGCGCAAGCCUGAUGCAGCGACGCCGCGUGGGGGAUGAAGGCCUUCGGGUUGUAAACUCCUUUCGCUAGGGACGAAGCUUUUUUGUGACGGUACCUAGAUAAGAAGCACCGGCUAACUACGUG
RNAcentral lists this ribosomal RNA (466 nucleotides) under uncultured bacterium. Its description in RNAcentral is "partial 16S ribosomal RNA". It matches the Rfam family "Bacterial small subunit ribosomal RNA", at positions 28 to 507 of the family's 1533-position model. The record is from RNAcentral.